RNAcentral lists this ribosomal RNA (465 nucleotides) under uncultured bacterium. RNAcentral's name for it is "bacterial SSU rRNA". It matches the Rfam family "Bacterial small subunit ribosomal RNA", at positions 338 to 795 of the family's 1533-position model. The record is from RNAcentral.
CCUACGGGCGGCAGCAGUGGGGAAUAUUGCACAAUGGGCGCAAGCCUGAUGCAGCUAUGCCGCGUGUAUGAAGAAGGCCUUCGGGUUGUAAAGUACUUUCAGUCGGGAGGAAGGUGGUGAGCUUAAUACGCACAUCAAUUGACGUUACCGACAGAAGAAGCACCGGCUAACUCCGUGCCAGCAGCCGCGGUAAUACGGAGGGUGCAAGCGUUAAUCGGAAUUACUGGGCGUAAAGCGCACGCAGGCGGUUGAUUGAGUCAGAUGUGAAAUCCCCGGGCUUAACCCGGGAAUUGCAUCUGAUACUGGUCAGCUAGAGUCUUGUAGAGGGGGGUAGAAUUCCAUGUGUAGCGGUGAAAUGCGUAGAGAUGCGGAGGAAUACCGGUGGCGAAGGCGGCCCCCUGGACAAAGACUGACGCUCAGGUGCGAAAGCGCGGGGAGCAAACAGGAUUAGAUACCCUCGUAGUC